Dicentrarchus labrax (European seabass) is the source of this 259-nucleotide long non-coding RNA. RefSeq lists it as uncharacterized. The record is from RefSeq and is a predicted model, not a curated record. The transcript has 3 exons. NCBI's taxonomy places the organism in Eukaryota, Metazoa, Chordata, Actinopteri, Moronidae.
AAAGGUUUCAUGAAGACAAGAAGAAGAAGUUCGAGUUAUAAGCGCCAUCGUGUGGAUGUCGGUGGCUCCUGCGACCGCUGAGAGUUCCUCUUCGGUCGGUUGUAUUUCUACAAUCUUUAACAGACAGAAACCCGCUGAGGGAUCAGAAACUCUCUGCGACCUGUGAGGAUGCAGUGAACUCUGGUACACAGGAGGACUGCUGCUGAGGCUCUGUGGGAACUAUGGCAGAGUCUUUCCAGUCUUACUGUUGACUAUAAAU